UACGUAGGGGGCAAGCGUUAUCCGGAUUUACUGGGUGUAAAGGGAGCGUAGACGGUGAAGCAAGUCUGAAGUGAAAGGCGGGGGCUCAACCCCCGGACUGCUUUGGAAACUGUUAUUCUAGAGUAUGGGAGAGGUAGGUGGAAUUCUUGGUGUAGGGGUAAAAUCCGUAGAGAUCAAGAGGAAUACUCAUUGCGAAGGCGACCUGCUAGAACAUAACUGACGCUGAUGCGCGAAAGCGUGGGGAGCAAACAGG
This 253-nucleotide ribosomal RNA is filed under the name uncultured bacterium. RNAcentral describes it as "partial 16S ribosomal RNA". It matches the Rfam family "Bacterial small subunit ribosomal RNA", at positions 524 to 776 of the family's 1533-position model. The record is from RNAcentral.